CCCUUAGAUGUUCUGGGCCGCACGCGCGCUACACUGAUGCAUUCAACGAGUUUUUCCUGGUCCGAGAGGAAUGGGUAACCUUUUGAAAGUGCAUCGUGAUAGGGAUAGACUAUUGCAAUUAUUGAUCUUCAACGAGGAAUUCCUAGUAGACGUAGUUCAUCAGACUGCAUCGAUUACGUCCCUGCCCUUUGUACACACCGCCCGUCGCUCCUACCGAUUGAAUGCUCAGGUGAGCCAUUCGGACUUUCAUCAUGCUGGUUUCCAGUUUUGAUGAAGGAAAGUCUUGCGAACCUUAUCAUUUAGAGGAAGGAGAAGUCGUAACA
Molecule: ribosomal RNA, 323 nt
Filed under: uncultured eukaryote
Lineage: Eukaryota
Description: partial 18S ribosomal RNA
Rfam family: Eukaryotic small subunit ribosomal RNA
Source: RNAcentral